UCUCUUUCCCCUCCUCUUCUCUCUCUCUCUCUCUCACUCUCACACACAAACACACAUAUUCCUGACUUAUAUAGAGAUAUUAUUGAAAGUUCAUGUAUGUGUAUGCCUGAGAAAUCUGCAAUUGAUAGUAUAUACUAUCCCAUUUUAGUGGGAUUUUGUGAUAUUCUCUAGCUAAUUUACAUGGUAGAUUUUGAUUGAUUGUUGAAUUUGAGCGUCGUCUUCUAUACUUUAAUUUAACUGAUGUAUGAGCUGGAGAAUCCAAUGCCCUUGCUGCUUUCAUUUUCUUGAUUUCUGUUUUUCCCUUGUUUUUAUUGCAGGAAAUAAAAAAUUGAAAAUAGGGUUAAUGUUUUUAGUUUUGUUAUCUCGUGUUGAGCUAGAUGAGAUUCUUGUUUGCUUCUGCCAUCCUCAAUUUUUUUAUUUAAGCCCUCUCUCUCUCUCUUGAGAUUACUAAUGAAUUUGAGUUUCUUCACUCUCUCUCUCUCUCUCUUCACUAUAUAGAGCAUAUUUGAAGGAGCUUGGAUCUGUGGAUGCAAAGAUAUGAGUCGUUGUUUUCUGGUGCAGCAUCAUCAAGAUUCACAAGACAAAGGGUUGUUUAGUGAUCUCUUUCUCUCUUUCUCUCUCUACACCAUGAGAAUCUUGAUGAUGCUGCAUCGGCAAUAAAUGACUUUUGCCGGCAAAAGGCGCAGAAAACCCUUUGUUCAUCAACCUUGCUACUUUUGCUUCUUUUUUUUAUCUACUAAAUAUUUUCUCUGCUUUAAUUCCUUAUUUUUAUUCAUUAUUACUAUUGUUUCUGUCAGAAUCCGACACAAGUGACUACUGAUGGAAGUAAUUCAGUCUGCAGGUGUAAUAGAUCUGAGAUAUUUUAUCUUGUUUUUUGGUAACAAAAAAAGGGGUUUUCCUAAUUAAUUAACAACUAAUUUAAGACUAGUUUCCUUGAUUUUGAACAUUAAUACACAGCAAAACACAAGUUCUAUGGGAGGCCAAGCCACUGGACAAGUGAAAAGCAACACAAAUCAGAUUUGAAGUUCACACACACAUGUACAGAAAUAUGUAUGUGUGUUUUAAGAACAAAAAGUGAAGAGAUUCUUUGGAAUUUGCUUAAGCAGCUGAAUGGUCCAUGAUGGUGAUGUCUCACCACUUGUCUUCACAUAGCUAGCCACGAGAUCAACGAGACUUGAUAACAUAACACCUUUACCUUUCAUUACUAAUAUAUUACUAGUACUCCUAGUUUCUUAUUUUUUUCAAGUUAUUUUAAAAAAAUAAAAAGUAUGAAAUUAAACAAUAUAUAUGAGGAAAAUAAUGAGAUCCAUGGCUUAAGACAUGUAGUAGUAUUUGGGAGAAAUUUUGAGUGAAAUAAGAAAAUUUGCACCUUUCAAAGAUGAUAAUAUCUUGUUGAUGACCAUUUACAACCAAAAUGAAGGUGACCUAGUUAGAAUUAACAGUAGUUAAAGUUGAGGUCGAAGAAAGGUAGUAGUACAAGAUAUUAACCCCACAAGAUAUGUGAAAUUAUUAGUGCCAACUAGCCUUCUGAAACCUAUUAAUGGAAAAUACGAAGUUGGUCCCUUCUGGUAAUAACUGCACACUAAUACUACACUCAUUUUACUCACCAAGGUAAAUUUUUUACCACUGCACUGCAUCGCUCACAAACGUUAAGAAAAGGUGUGGUCCAAUGCCAACGUCCAAGUUAAGGCGUUGGCAUCCCGCAUCCACAUUUUGUCGUACGAAUGGAUCGGAUCUGGAUCAGAUCAGCCCUUUAUUAUACCAUGUACCAUACCACCACCAUAAAUCAGGUUCAGUAGAUUUUUUCUAAAUUGAUCAUUGGGUGUCUAACUCCAACUGUGAGAGAAAAUAUGCAAGUUCAUUGAAUAUAUAUUUACUCACUUUACAUGCCAUGGUUUCCUUUUUUUUCCUCAAAAGAAUGUAAAAGCACAAUUGGCUUUGUACUGUCAUUAGAGAAAAAGGAAAUUCCUCUUCAUGUCAUCAAUUAUUCAUAUCUGAGCCAGCUCCACAAACAUGGGGGCACAGUAGAGAAUCCAACAGAGAGGUUCAUGUCUCAUGUCUCCAUGAAGGCCUUUCCUGUAUGUUAAAAGUUUAGCAUUAAUUAAGCUCAUGAUCAGACAUGUUCCAUGGCAAGAUUGUGUUACAAGCACCUAUAAAGAAGUUUUUUCGCAAUUCAUUACGCAUUUGAAGGAUAUGUGGCAAAAGUAUGGUAAAAACUUGCUGAAUCAAAGGCCUAAUGCUAACUACCUAUAUAGUUCAACUUCAGCCAUACUAGUAAACCAUGCUAAUGAUGCAAAAAACGAUACCUUCAUCGACUAGCCCCAGUCAUCGGCACUGCUGGCAUGACUUUUACCACCAUCACUGGGCCACACACUAAUCCCAAAGGGACCACAGGUUCUGCUUUACCUGUCUGCAAUGGCCCAUACAUCGGUGUACCGAUUCCAUUUCGUGGUGGAUGGCCCCAAAUGUUCUUGCCACCAUCAUAGGUCAUGUCAACGGGCCAAGCCUUUGCCGCAGAACCAUCAUCGUUCAAAAGUUCCAACCUUUCCUCUGAAUAAGCUGAAACAUUCUCAAAGAAUUAGCAGCACACAGAUUCCAGUACUCCUCAUUAAGAGUAAUUGUGUUCUUCAAUGGGGUCAUAAAGCUGCUCUCCCACCCCCUUCCGUCUCCCUGUUAUGCUAUGCUUUGGCAUCUUGAGCUGACACCCCAACAAGAGGGGACACGAACUUCUCCAGAGCGUUUUCCCGCCUUAUAACCUCGAAUACUCUCUGGCUGAUCUGUAGAAAAUAGCAUUGCUUUAGGAACAGCACCAGAAAGUUUUUGAAAUGUCCCAAGAUACAAGCUAGGAAAAGCUUUAAGGGAAACAUAUAUAUAUGUAUAUAUAUAGAUCACCCAUAUCAGUGUUUGAAUACACUCCAAUUAUUCGUUUA
This is a non-coding RNA of Salvia hispanica, 2930 nucleotides long. The record is from RefSeq and is a predicted model, not a curated record. Lineage: Eukaryota; Viridiplantae; Streptophyta; Magnoliopsida; Lamiales; Lamiaceae.